RNAcentral lists this unclassified non-coding RNA (346 nucleotides) under soil metagenome. Its description in RNAcentral is "partial contains 5.8S ribosomal RNA, internal transcribed spacer 2, and large subunit ribosomal RNA". The stretch from base 1 to 120 matches the Rfam family "5.8S ribosomal RNA", at positions 35 to 154 of the family's 154-position model. The record is from RNAcentral.
GAUGAAGAACGCAGCAAAAUGCGAUAAGUAAUGUGAAUUGCAGAAUUCAGUGAAUCAUCGAAUCUUUGAACUCACAUUGCGCCCGCUGGUAUUCCGGCGGGCAUGCCUGUUCGAGCGUCAUUUCAACCCUCAAGCCCCCGGGUUUGGUGUUGGGGAUCGGCUCUGCCUUCUGGCGGUGCCGCCCCCGAAAUACAUUGGCGGUCUCGCUGCAGCCUCCAUUGCGUAGUAGCUAACACCUCGCAACUGGAACGCGGCGCGGCCAUGCCGUAAAACCCCAACUUCUGAAUGUUGACCUCGGAUCAGGUAGGAAUACCCGCUGAACUUAAGCAUAUCAAUAAGCGGAGGA